CAAUAGCGUAUAUUAAAGUUGUUGCAGUUAAAAAGCUCGUAGUUGAACUUGUGCGUGCCCCUGAUGUCCUUUUUGGUACGUUUGGGGGUGUGCAUCCUUGGGUGGAUCCUGUGUGGCAUUAGGUUGUCGUGCAGGGGAUGCUCAUCGUUUACUGUGAAAAAAUUAGAGUGUUCAAAGCAGGCUUAUGCCGUUGAAUAUAUUAGCAUGGAAUAAUAAGAUAGGACCUCGGUACUAUUUUGUUGGUUUGCGCACUGAGGUAAUGAUUAACAGGGACAGUUGGGGGUAUUCGUAUUCCAUUGUCAGAGGUGAAAUUCUUGGAUUUCUGGAAGACGAACUACUGCGAAAGCAUUUACCAAGGAUGUUUUCAUUAA
This 371-nucleotide ribosomal RNA is filed under the name uncultured eukaryote. RNAcentral describes it as "partial 18S ribosomal RNA". It matches the Rfam family "Eukaryotic small subunit ribosomal RNA", at positions 592 to 976 of the family's 1831-position model. The record is from RNAcentral.